This 59-nucleotide transfer RNA is filed under the name Phrynocephalus reticulatus bannikovi. Its description in RNAcentral is "tRNA-Cys". Lineage: Eukaryota; Metazoa; Chordata; Lepidosauria; Squamata; Agamidae. The record is from RNAcentral.
GGCCUAAUAAUAAUGCUAAAUUGCAAGUUUGGUUUUGAAAAUAAAUUUUCGUAGGCCUA